This 253-nucleotide ribosomal RNA is filed under the name uncultured prokaryote. Its description in RNAcentral is "partial 16S ribosomal RNA". It matches the Rfam family "Bacterial small subunit ribosomal RNA", at positions 524 to 776 of the family's 1533-position model. The record is from RNAcentral.
GACGUAGGGGGCAAGCGUUGUCCGGAAUCAUUGGGCGUAAAGCGCUCGUAGGCGGACCUUUAAGUCUGUGAAGAAAGACCCGGGCUCAACUCGGGGAACGGCAUAGAUACUAUUGGUCUUGAGGUAGUCAGAGGAUGAUGGAAUUCCCAGUGUAGUGGUGAAAUACGUAGAGAUUGGGAAGAACACCAGUGGCGAAGGCGGCUAUCUGGACGGUUUCUGACGCUAAGACGCGAAAGCGUGGGGAGCAAACAGG